AGGAAUAUUGGUCAAUGGACGAGAGUCUGAACCAGCCAAGUAGCGUGAAGGAUGACUGCCCUAUGGGUUGUAAACUUCUUUUAUAUGGGAAUAAAGUGGUCCACGUGUGGAUUUUUGUAUGUACCAUAUGAAUAAGGAUCGGCUAACUCCGUGCCAGCAGCCGCGGUAAUACGGAGGAUCCGAGCGUUAUCCGGAUUUAUUGGGUUUAAAGGGAGCGUAGGCGGACGCUUAAGUCAGUUGUGAAAGUUUGCGGCUCAACCGUAAAAUUGCAGUUGAUACUGGGUGUCUUGAGUACAGUAGAGGCAGGCGGAAUUCGUGGUGUAGCGGUGAAAUGCUUAGAUAUCACGAAGAACUCCGAUUGCGAAGGCAGCUUGCUGGACUGUAACUGACGCUGAUGCUCGAAAGUGUGGGUAUCAAACAGGAUUAGAUACCCUGGUAGUCCACACAGUAAACGAUGAAUACUCGCUGUUUGCGAUAUACAGUAAGCGGCCAAGCGAAAGCGUUAAGUAUUCCACCUGGGGGAGUACGCCGGCAACGGUGAAACUCAAAGGAAUUGACGGGGGCCCGCACAAGCGGAGGAACAUGUGGUUUAAUUCGAUGAUACGCGAGGAACCUUACCCGGGCUUGAAUUGCAACUGAAUGAUGUGGAGACAUGUCAGCCGCAAGGCAGUUGUGAAGGUGCUGCAUGGUUGUCGUCAGCUCGUGCCGUGAGGUGUCGGCUUAAGUGCCAUAACGAGCGCAACCCUUAUCGAUAGUUACCAUCAGGUUAUGCUGGGGACUCUGUCGAGACUGCCGUCGUAAGAUGUGAGGAAGGUGGGGAUGACGUCAAAUCAGCACGGCCCUUACGUCCGGGGCUACACACGUGUUACAAUGGGGGGUACAGAAGGCAGCUACACGGCGACGUGAUGCUAAUCCCUAAAGCCUCUCUCAGUUCGGAUUGGAGUCUGCAACCCGACUCCACGAAGCUGGAUUCGCUAGUAAUCGUAGAUCAGAAUGCUACGGUGAAUACGUUCCCG
RNAcentral lists this ribosomal RNA (1016 nucleotides) under uncultured bacterium. RNAcentral's name for it is "bacterial SSU rRNA". It matches the Rfam family "Bacterial small subunit ribosomal RNA", at positions 357 to 1376 of the family's 1533-position model. The record is from RNAcentral.